Molecule: RNA transcript, 1066 nt
Organism: Scylla paramamosain (green mud crab)
Lineage: Eukaryota; Metazoa; Arthropoda; Malacostraca; Decapoda; Portunidae
Exons: 6
Source: RefSeq, a predicted model, not a curated record
AUGGAGGCAAUGGUCAGUUCGGAAAGAUCCAUUUACAAGACAGGAGACACAUUGCUGGUGAAGAGUGUGAGUCUCCCAAAGCCUGCAGGAGUGACUGAUGAUGUGUAUGUUGAUGAGGUGGCCUUCCUCACCACCCCAACUUCUGUGACACAGAUGUACCCGCCCGCCCUCAAGCAGAAGGGAAUCCUUAUUGAGGAUGUGGCAGUCAAGAAGGUGACAGAGAAUGGGUACUCCCUGGAAUUCCAGACCACAAACUGCAAGACUGGAAUGCCCCUCCUUGGUCUCCUGCAGGUGGAAGGUCCUCCAGCAAGCUUUGACACUCAGGUGACAGUCACAUGCUCCUCUCAGACUGCCACGGGUCCCCUCGCUGGCAACUGGGACCUCGGAAUUCAGGGGCAGGUUGUAAAAGACAUUCCAGCAGGUGUUGACCCAAAGGUCCUGGAGGGCAUUCUGGAAAGUGCCCUGGGAACUGAUCUCACAGUCCAGUACUCCGGCUCCUGCAAGAACUACCACUACUACAUUGAGUGGGAGGAAGAUCCCGGCAGAAAGGAGCUGGUGGAGAUACACACAGAUAACCUGAUGUUUGAUGGGCAAGGGGCUGCAGCACACCCUCACCCUGAGUGGCAUGGCCAUCACUGCCACCCAGCUCACCUGCACUGUAGCACUGUGGGGCGGCUUGCAUUCAGUGGCACUCAGCAUGCAGCCGGCUGGCUCGGCACUGCUCCCCUCCCCCAUCAUCUACAUGGUGCCAGUCACCGUGGUUGCACUCAGCAUCACGGAGGGAAGCACUGGUGGACAGUAUCCUCUCACUGUGACUGGCACUGGCUUCCCAGACAGUGAUGGGUGGGAGGCUGGCAGUGCCAUUAUGACUCUGGGUGGCAAGAAGUGUGUGGUUAUCUCUGGUGGACCCACAGAGGUCACCUGCACAGUGCCUGCUGGUGAGGCACGGUGGAUGUGGUGGUGGAUGUGGGCAGCACAAGUGGCUCCCUCCCUUCCUCCUUCACUUAUGACGUCUCACUGUCACCCACCAUCAUUGGCCUUUCCCUCCACACCCUCUCCCUCUUUG